ACGGAACCUUUAUCUUUAGCUCUUAUUGUGGAACUUUAGGAAUACUGAAUGAGAUAAUUGAAGAACCUGAUUUAUUCUAACGUGUUCUGUGUUUGUAGAACCGCGGGACGUCGGACGACAACGCCACCUACACGGGUCUGAACCGACGUUCUCCUGAAGGAGAAUAUAAAGAACUUCCUGUUCGAGACCGUCAGCGGAAGAACGAGCAGGUGUACCAGGGUCUGAGCACGGCCGCCAGAGACACCUACGACUCCCUGCAGAUGCAGCCGCUUCCUCCUCGCUAACGCCGCCGCCUCACUUCCUGUCCACCUCACUUCCUGUCCACCUCACUUCCUGUUAAACACACAAACAUGAUUAAUGUAGUUUUAUAGACGAUACCAAACGGUUCUUUAGUCGGUUUAAAGGUUUGGUUGAGAUCAGAACACGAUCAGAACAUUCAUUGAUCCAUUAAUUUAACCCCUUAAAGUUUCACCUUAAUUGAAAAAGCCCUUAACCUCUGCAGAAAACCAUUAAACCUUUAUCUUCAUUAUGAUUUCAUUCAUAAAUUCACACUUUAACUGCAGUAAAGUAUUAAAUACUGAAUAAGAAUCCCUCCAAAUAUCAUAAUUAUUACACAUUAAAUUGUAUGUAAGGUCUUUUAUUGAGUGGAUCGACUUUAUAAAGACGAUAUUAAGGUGUUGUUAAGGGGAUAGUUAAUGGGCUUUAGAGGUCGAACAUGAGAUAACUGUUUCUCAUUCUGGUUGAUGACGAGGUGAUGAAGGUGACGAGGUGAUGAAGGUGAUGAAGGUGAUGAAGGUGACGAAGGUGAUGAAGGUGACGAAGGUGAUGAAGGUGACGAAGGUGAUGAAGGUGAUGAAGGUGAUGAAGGACUGUCAGGCUGUAAUAAUAAUAAUAAGGAGGAAUCUUAUCCGGUGCUGAUCACAGAUAUUGAUCGUUAAUAACAGCUGAUCUAACAUCAUUAAAGGCUGAAGUUUAUCAAUAUAUUCUACUUCUAUAUAAAUAUCCGUCUGCGGCAUGUUGAAAGCUUUUUAUCCUCUAAAUAUGUUUUAUUAUCCGUAACUGAUCUUUAACAUGAAACCCCAAAGAGUUCAAUAUUAAAACAAUCAAUAAGACUUCAUUACAUAAAUAAUCAAUACAGACUAAACACAACCAGAACACGUGUCUCUUCACAAUUCAUUCAUUUCUAUUUAGAAUAAUAAAAUAAUGUAAAUGAUUUUAUAAAUAUAUAUCUAAUAAAUCAAUAACAAUGACGUUUUAGAAACGUUCUGGAAUAUUUCACAACUUCUUGGUUUGAUUUAAUAUUUUAUCUUAAUUGUUUAUUUAAUAUUGGACUCUUUGGGCCUCCGUACAUUACACAAUAAAAAAAAAAAUAUAUAUAUAUAUAUAUAUAUAUAAAUACAGUAUAUAUAUAUCUAUAUAUAUCUAUAGAGUAUGUAGUGCAGUUUUUCUCCUUUAAAAGUGGUAUAAUUUGAGUUAUUUUGCUGUUUAUUGCUGGUUUUGAUGCUUUUUGUUCGGUCGUAGUUUAUUGUUAGAUUAUUCAUUUAAAUAAUCGGUCAUUAGUUUUAUUGAUCUGAUAUUCUCCUGAGAAUUUAUUUCUGUUUGAAUAUUUUUGCUUUUAUAUGUUGAUGUUUAUAUGUUGAUGUUUAUAUGUU
Molecule: long non-coding RNA, 1652 nt
Organism: Sebastes umbrosus (honeycomb rockfish)
Lineage: Eukaryota; Metazoa; Chordata; Actinopteri; Perciformes; Sebastidae
Exons: 5
Source: RefSeq, a predicted model, not a curated record